Molecule: transfer RNA, 80 nt
Filed under: Medicago truncatula (barrel medic)
Lineage: Eukaryota; Viridiplantae; Streptophyta; Magnoliopsida; Fabales; Fabaceae
Description: tRNA gene13507
Source: RNAcentral
UUCAGGUAGUUUAGUGGCUAGAAUUCACUUUUUAAAGUGAAUAAGUGGGGUGUCCGGGGUUCGAACCCCGGCCCCUGCAU